ACGUAGGGGGCAAGCGUUGUCCGGAUUUACUGGGUGUAAAGGGAGCUUAGACGGAACUGCAAGUCAGAGGUGAAAUCUCACAGCUUAACUGCGAAACUGCCUUUGAUACUGCAAGUCUAGAGUACGGAAGAGAGUGAUGGAAUGUCUGGUGUAGCAGUGAAAUGCGUAGAUAUCAGAUAGAACACCGAUGGCGAAGGCAGCCACUUGGUCCAUUACUGACGCUAAAGCACGAAAGCGUGGGUAGCAAACAG
RNAcentral lists this ribosomal RNA (251 nucleotides) under uncultured prokaryote. RNAcentral's name for it is "partial 16S rRNA". It matches the Rfam family "Bacterial small subunit ribosomal RNA", at positions 525 to 775 of the family's 1533-position model. The record is from RNAcentral.